RNA transcript from Carlito syrichta (Philippine tarsier), 1501 nucleotides. It is a transcript of the gene named elongation factor 1-alpha 1 pseudogene, with no coding region annotated. The record is from RefSeq and is a predicted model, not a curated record. NCBI's taxonomy places the organism in Eukaryota, Metazoa, Chordata, Mammalia, Primates, Tarsiidae. The transcript is spliced from 2 exons.
AUGGGAAAGGAGAAGAGGCACCUCAACAUCGUCGUCAUUGGACAUGUCAGUUCGGGCAAGUCCACCACUACUGGCCACGGGACCUACCAAUGUGAUGGUAUAGACAAAAGAGCCAUUGAGAAAUUCAAGGAGGAGGCUGCUGAGAUGGAAAGGGCUCUUUAAAAUAUGCCUGGGUCUUGGAUAAACUGAAAGCUGAGCAUGAGUGUGGUAUCGCCACUGAUAACUCCCUGUGGAAAUUUGAGACCAGCAAGUACUACGCCACUAUCACUGAUGCCCCAGGACACAGAGACUUCAUCAAAAACAUGAUUACAGGCACAUCGCAGGCUGACUGUGCUGUCCUAAUUGCUGCUGCUGGUGUUGGGGAAUUUGAAGUCGGUAUCUCCAAGAAUGGGCAGACCCGUGAGCAUGCCCUCCUGUCUUACACACUGAGUGUGAAACAACUAAUUGCUGGUGUUAACAAAAUGGAUUCCACUGAGCCACCCUACAGCCAGAAGAGAUAUGAAGAAAUUGUUAAGGAAGUCAGCACUUACAUUAAGAAAAUUGGCUACAACCCUGACACAGUAGCAUUUGUGCCAAUUUCUGGUUGGAAUGGUGACAACAAGCUGGAGCCAAGUGCUAACAAGCCUUGGUUCAAGGGAUGAAAAGUCACUCGCAAAGAUGGUGAUGCCAGUGGAACCCCACUGCUUGAAGCACUGGACUGCAUCCUGCUACCAGCUCAUCCAACUGACAAGCCCUGUGUCUGCCGUUCCAGGAUGUCUACAAGAUUGGUAGUAUUGGUACUGUCCCUGUGGGCCAGUGGAGACUGGUGCUCUCAAACCUGGCAUGAUGGUUACCCUUGCUCCAGUCAAUGUUACAACUGAAGUAAAGUCUGUUGAAAUGCACCAUGAAGCUUUGAGCAAAGCUCAUCUGGGGGACAACGUGAGCUUCAAUAUCAAGAAUGUGUCUGUCAAAGACGUUUACUGUGGCAACGUUGCCAGUGACAGUAGAAAUGAUCCGCCAAAGGAAGCAGCUGGCUUCACAGCUCAGGUGAUUAUCCUGACCCAUCCAGGCCAACCAGCGCUGGCUGUGCCCCUGUACUGGAUUGUCACACAGUGCACAUUGCAUGCAAGUUUGCUGAGCUGAAGGAAAAGAUUAAUUGCCAUUCUGGUGAGAGCUAGAAGAUGGCCCUAAAUUCUUGAAGUCUGUUGAGGCUGCCAUCAUUGAUAUGGUUCCUGGCAAGCCCAUGUGUGUGGAGAGCUUCUCUGACUAUCCUUCUCUGGGUCAUUUUGCCAUCCGUGACAUGAGGCAGACAGUUGCUGUGGGUGUCAUCAAAGCAGUGGACAAGAAGGCUGCUGGAGCUGGCAAGGUCACCAAGUCUGCCCAGAAAGUUCAGAAGGCUAACCAAAUAUCCCUAAUACCUGCCACCUCAUUGAAUCUUCCAGUAGACGUCUACAGUUUAGCUAGAAGUCUUGGCUACGAUACAAACAGUGAUGGAAAACACAUGAGCAGUAACAAGUUUUAA